RNAcentral lists this unclassified non-coding RNA (230 nucleotides) under fungal sp. Its description in RNAcentral is "partial internal transcribed spacer region". The stretch from base 1 to 46 matches the Rfam family "Eukaryotic small subunit ribosomal RNA", at positions 1786 to 1831 of the family's 1831-position model. The record is from RNAcentral. Lineage: Eukaryota; Fungi.
AAGUCGUAACAAGGUAUCCGUAGGUGAACCUGCGGAUGGAUCAUUACCAAAGGAUCCACAUCCACACACGUAAUGUGAACUGUUUUGAUUCUGCCGUCAGUGGUCAAGUGCGCCUAGCGUGCUCGCCACUGACUGCGCAACAUUUACACGUCUAUUCAUUUCAAACUGAAGUCUUGUUUAUACAAAUCAAAAACUAUAAACAACUUUUAGCAAUGGAUCUCUUGGCUCUU